This 253-nucleotide ribosomal RNA is filed under the name uncultured bacterium. RNAcentral's name for it is "partial 16S ribosomal RNA". It matches the Rfam family "Bacterial small subunit ribosomal RNA", at positions 524 to 776 of the family's 1533-position model. The record is from RNAcentral.
UACGAAGGGGGCUAGCGUUGUUCGGAAUUACUGGGCGUAAAGCGCACGUAGGCGGUCCGUUAAAUUAGAAGUGAAAUCCCUGGGCUCAACCCGGGAACUGCGUCCGAGACUGGCAGGCUCGAAUCCGGGAGAGGGAUGUGGAAUUCCAGGUGUAGCGGUGAAAUGCGUAGAUAUCUGGAGGAACAUCGGUGGCGAAGGCGGCAUCCUGGACCGGUAUUGACGCUGAGGCGCGAAAGCCAGGGGAGCAAACGGG